GACGAACGCUGGCGGCGUGCUUAACACAUGCAAGUCGAGGGGGAGUAGGGGCAACUCUACUUCACCGGCGAACGGGUGCGUAACACGUGAGCGACCUACCCUGGUGUGGGGGAUAGCCGGCCCAAGUGGCCGGGUAAUACCGCAUACGCUCUUUGGAGGGGCAUCCCUUGGAGACCAAAGCCGGUGGGGCAACUCACGGCGCAUUGGGGAGGGGCUCGCGGCCUAUCAGCUAGUUGGCGAGGUAACGGCCACCAAGGCGACGACGGGUAGCUGGUCUGAGAGGAUGGCCAGCCACAUUGGGACUGAGAGACGGCCCAGACUCCUACGGGAGGCAGCAGGUGGGGAAUCUUGCGCAAUGGGCGAAAGCCUGACGCAGCGACGCCGCGU
RNAcentral lists this ribosomal RNA (387 nucleotides) under uncultured bacterium. RNAcentral describes it as "bacterial SSU rRNA". It matches the Rfam family "Bacterial small subunit ribosomal RNA", at positions 28 to 402 of the family's 1533-position model. The record is from RNAcentral.